AUGAACGCUGGCGGCGUGCUUAACACAUGCAAGUCGAACGAAGCAACUAUCUUGCUGCAAGAGAGUGACUUAGUGGCGGACGGGUGAGUAACGCGUGGGUAACCUGCCUCAUACAGGGGGAUAACAGUUGGAAACGACUGCUAAGACCGCAUAACCCGCUAGUGUCGCAUGACACGGACGGAAAAUAUUUAUAGGUAUGAGAUGGGCCCGCGUCUGAUUAGCUAGUUGGUAAGGUAACGGCUUACCAAGGCGACGAUCAGUAGCCGACUUGAGAGAGUGAUCGGCCACAUUGGGACUGAGACACGGCCCAAACUCCUACGGGAGGCAGCAGUGGGGAAUAUUGGACAAUGGGGGAAACCCUGAUCCAGCCGACGCCGCGUGAGUGAAGAAGUAUUUCGGUAUGUAAAGCUCUAUCAGCAGGGAAGAUAAUGACAGUACCUGACUAAGAAGCCCCGGCUAACUACGUGCCAGCCGCCGC
This 478-nucleotide ribosomal RNA is filed under the name uncultured bacterium. RNAcentral's name for it is "bacterial SSU rRNA". It matches the Rfam family "Bacterial small subunit ribosomal RNA", at positions 29 to 518 of the family's 1533-position model. The record is from RNAcentral.